GCCCGGCUGGCUCAAUGGUAGAGCAUCAGACUUCUAUACAGUCUUGUAAAGGUCAAUCUGAAGGUUGUGGGUUCGAGUCCCACGUCGGGUG
Molecule: non-coding RNA, 91 nt
Organism: Annulohypoxylon moriforme
Lineage: Eukaryota; Fungi; Ascomycota; Sordariomycetes; Xylariales; Hypoxylaceae
Source: the annotation of a GenBank genome assembly